RNAcentral lists this long non-coding RNA (1390 nucleotides) under Gossypium barbadense (sea-island cotton). Its description in RNAcentral is "long non-coding RNA (GBAR_LNC014508)". The record is from RNAcentral. Lineage: Eukaryota; Viridiplantae; Streptophyta; Magnoliopsida; Malvales; Malvaceae.
AAGAUAGUAACCAACAAAUUUUAAAAUCAAAGCGUCAAAUGAAAAUAGAUUAAUAAUGUUAAAGAAAACAAAAUAAGAUGAUAUACAAUAGAUUCACAAUAUUGGUAUAUAAUGGAUUUUGAAAAUAUAAAAAUAAGAUUAAAAUAGUAAUUUAUUAUACUUUUAGACCAUAAUAAUAGUAAACUUAAACUCUAUCAAAAUAAAUAUCAUCAAAAAUAUUAAAUACGAUAAUAUAUGAAAAUAGAGUUAAUUAUAAUUAAAAUUUAACAUCGAAUUUUAAGAAAAAAGACUAAAUUAGCAUUAAAUUAAAAUUCAUUUCAAAAAUUUAAGGGCCAAAGCAAUAAUAAUACGCAAACAAUGGAAUACUCAAUCAAUAACCAAGAAACGGCACCGUCUAGAUUUAGGGCUAAAUGAAAACUAAAUCAAAUAUGCCGUAUAAAUUUUAAAAGAUAAAGGGGACCAAAUUGAAACCAAACAAAACGAAGAGGGACUUGUGAAGCAAAUAAACCAAUGAACCCAAGUGCGCGGAUCCUGCCCCGGGUCGGGUCAUCGCGCGGGUUUAGUCGUCAGACAACACCGUUUUAAAUCCGGUGAUUAAAACUAAAAUAAAACUAAAAAAAACACUUAACCUAACACUUUUAUUUCCCUUUUUUAAAACCUAAGCUCUUUCUCCGCGCCGCUCUGUUUACUGAGUAUCCGAACCAUCGCCGAUCCUAGCCCAUAUUCCGAUGACGACGGAGAGAGGGCCAGGACCGUUCUACCAGGUACGUCCCUUACUCUUUUCUAAUAUUUCUCUUUUAAACAACGAUCGAUGAACAUGCAAAUUAGAAACAGAAAGCCAAGAAAAGAAUCAAAUAACCAGUAAAAUAAAAAGGAAUGAAAACCCAGAAAAUCACCUUUUUUCAAAUUUGAUUUCUCUGUAUUUUUUUGCGUAAGUAGUAGUACAAUCAUUCUUCCGGUUCUUAUAUCCUCCUUUUUUUGACCGAGAAGCCGAAAAUAAAAAUACAAUUGAAAUCAAAAAAUAAAAUAGAAAACCCCCAUUGGUUCCUCUUUGCUGUGCUGUUUUCAUUCUAUUUGCAGGUGCGAUCGUACGGGGACUGGACGUGGCGUGUACGGAGGCCAGCUAGGAGACGCACACGCGCGUGGUGGCACAGCACACGCGCGUGGUGGCACAGCACGCGCGGGGGAAAGCUUGGCCGCUGCGGUGCUGGGAGCCCAUGCUGUUGAAGGCUAAGGUUUUCUGAUUUUGGUCUUUAGGGCUUAGGUGAUUUGGGCCAGGGGUAUCCGGGCUAAAUUGGGUCUGGGCUUAGGGUGUCUUGAAAUUUUAGGCUAGUUGGCCUACUCAGAUUUGGCCCUAUUGUUGUAAAGAAAAGGACUGUGUUAUUUUUUC